GACGGAGGAUGCAAGCGUUAUCCGGAAUUAUUGGGCGUAAAGGGUGCGUAGGUGGUCGGUCAAGUCUGCUGUCAAAGCGUGGUGCUUAACUCCAUAUCGGCGUGGGAAACUGACGGACUAGAGUAUGGCAGGGGUUGGAGGAAUUCCCGGUGUAGCGGUGAAAUGCGUAGAUAUCGGGAAGAACACCAGUGGCGAAAGCGGUCUGCUGGGCCGUAACUGACACUGAGGCACGAAAGCUAGGGGAGCGAAUGGG
This 253-nucleotide ribosomal RNA is filed under the name uncultured bacterium. RNAcentral's name for it is "partial 16S ribosomal RNA". It matches the Rfam family "Bacterial small subunit ribosomal RNA", at positions 524 to 776 of the family's 1533-position model. The record is from RNAcentral.